RNAcentral lists this long non-coding RNA (1159 nucleotides) under Anser cygnoides (Swan goose). RNAcentral's name for it is "lncRNA (ENSACDG00005007787.1)". The record is from RNAcentral. Lineage: Eukaryota; Metazoa; Chordata; Aves; Anseriformes; Anatidae.
UGGGUUGGGUGGGUGGGUCACGGAUGGGUUGGUUGGUGGUUGGUCGGAGCGUGGGUGGGCUGCAGUUGGCCAGGCGCUGGCCGCUGCCCGCUGGCGUUUGUGCCUCGCGCCUUCACCCCCCAGCCCCACAGAACGACACGACCGGAGAGAAAAACAAAAAACAGCUUUUUAUUAAUAAUUACAAAAAAAACGUUGGGGAGACCCCAGGGUGGAGGAACCCCCGGGGGGGGGGGCGUCGGGGGCCUCGCACGGGAGCAGCGUCACAGAGGCGGGCAGCGCAGGCACCGCUCCCCGUCCCCGCUGGCCUCUGAUGUCCCCAACCCCGUGGUCAUCAUCCCGCCACGUCCCCAGCCCCAGGGCCACCACCCCCCCCUCUGCACAAGUCUUUGUGGCCACCGACUCUCCGUGUCCCCGACCCUGGGGUCGCCACCUCUCUCUGCACAAGCCCCCGGACCAACAUUUUUUGAUGCUCUUCAACUUUACGGCCACCAACUCGCCGUGUCCCCAGCCCCACGGCCACCAUCCCUCCGCACACAAGCCCCGUGGCCACCAUCUUUUGACGUUACCCAGCCCCACGACCACCAUCUUUUGACGGUGGCCACCAUCCUUCCGUAUCCCCAACCCCACGGCCACCAUUCUUCCACGUUCCCCAGCCACGUGGCCAGCACCUUUCGGUGUUCUCCAACCCCCAUGGCCACCGUCCUUCCAUGUCCCCAACCCUGUGGCCACCAUUUUGAUAUGCUCCAACCCCAUUCCCCAACCCCGUGGCCACCAUCCUUCCACGUCCCCAACCCCGUGGCCACCUUCCUUCCACGUCCCCAACCCCGUGGCCACCAUCCCUCCACGCACAAGCCCCAUGGCCGCCAUCUUUUGGUGUUCUCCAACCCCACGGCCGCCAUUUUCGAUAUUCUCCAACCCCAUUCCCCAACCCCGUGGCCACCAUCCUUCCACGUCCCCGACCCCGUGGCCACCAUCCCUCCACGCACAAGCCCCAUGGCCGCCAUCUUUUGGUGUUCUCCAACCCCACGGCCACCAUUCUUCCACGUCCCCAACCCAUGGCCACCAUCCUUUUGUGUCCCCAACCCCGUGGCCACCAUCCUUCCACGCCCCCACCCCCACAACCACCAUCUUUUGACGCGCCCCCUUCCCCAGCCCCUGC